GUAAAUUAAAGAAUUUAAAGACAAGUGCGUAAUGUAAAUUGAGUAAAAUAAAUAAUUGAAAGUAGGCUUGGAGAGACAAGUGUGUAAACAAAUGAAAAUAAUGUAAAAUGACAAGUUAUGUAUUGUGUCACAAAUCUUUUCUCUCUUCCAAAAGCUUGGUAUUUAUAGGGCUUCGAUACGUCCCAAUUUGGUCAAUCAUCAAUUGACCUUCAAAUCAGUCAUAAUUUCAUACUUGAUAAAUAUCAUUAAUUUUGGCUGAUUGCUUCAAUUUCCUUGGUUGACC
RNAcentral lists this long non-coding RNA (283 nucleotides) under Prunus persica (peach). Its description in RNAcentral is "long non-coding RNA (PPER_LNC006929)". Lineage: Eukaryota; Viridiplantae; Streptophyta; Magnoliopsida; Rosales; Rosaceae. The record is from RNAcentral.